Long non-coding RNA from Anastrepha ludens (Mexican fruit fly), 735 nucleotides. RefSeq lists it as uncharacterized. NCBI's taxonomy places the organism in Eukaryota, Metazoa, Arthropoda, Insecta, Diptera, Tephritidae. The transcript has 3 exons. The record is from RefSeq and is a predicted model, not a curated record.
UAAAUCAAUUUGCAUGAAUUUCCGAAUUCGCCUCGCAAGAGCAAUAAAUACAUAUCUAUAUAUGUAUGUACGUAAUUGAUAGCCAUUUGUAUGAGUGAUGAAGCAAACGUAAAACGAGCCAACUAACCAAAUUGCCACAAGGCAUCAGCCGACGUGUGAUACGGAUAUUCAGCCAGUUGUUAGUAAGUCAACUAUUCAGAAAGGGUGCCCUUUAACAGUUUCAAGCAAAUUCAAAAGUCUGCGGCAGCCCACUUUCUUGGCUAUUACACUAUGCGUGUAUUUAUAUGUUUGGCGCUGUUCUACCACUGCAGUGAAAUUUGGGGCACUAAUAAAUAAGGAGUGGUCUCGUGACUGUCCUUCAACUGGUGCAAAACGGCUACUGAUUGGCUAUUGCUUUUGUCAAGGCCAUCAAUACUUACUACAAGUAGACAGUGGAAAUCACUUGGGACAGUUGAAUUUACUGCAGGAUUUAUACGGAAAAUGGUAGAUGGUAGUGUGAAUUUUUGAUGUAUUUGUAGAUGUAUGUAGGUGUGUGUAUGCGGGGCUACUUAUAACGAGAUGAACCAAUAAUGAGUUAUGCUGUCCACGGCAAGAGCAUUUUUUUGUGAGACGUGAAGGGAGAUGAGGUACCAACGGCUGAGUUUUCGGAAUUUUUAAAUAAAAAUUUCACAAAAUACUGUUUAAAUAUGUAUCUUUGAUAUGCUGAAUUGUUUAAAUAAAAUAUAUGAUUGUAUA